RNAcentral lists this ribosomal RNA (392 nucleotides) under uncultured bacterium. RNAcentral describes it as "partial 16S ribosomal RNA". It matches the Rfam family "Bacterial small subunit ribosomal RNA", at positions 523 to 918 of the family's 1533-position model. The record is from RNAcentral.
AUACGUAGGUGGCAAGCGUUAUCCGGAAUUAUUGGGCGUAAAGAGGGAGCAGGCGGCAGCAAGGGUCUGUGGUGAAAGCCUGAAGCUUAACUUCAGUAAGCCAUAGAAACCAGGCAGCUAGAGUGCAGGAGAGGAUCGUGGAAUUCCAUGUGUAGCGGUGAAAUGCGUAGAUAUAUGGAGGAACACCAGUGGCGAAGGCGACGAUCUGGCCUGCAACUGACGCUCAGUCCCGAAAGCGUGGGGAGCAAAUAGGAUUAGAUACCCUAGUAGUCCACGCCGUAAACGAUGAGUACUAAGUGUUGGAUGUCAAAGUUCAGUGCUGCAGUUAACGCAAUAAGUACUCCGCCUGAGGAGUACGUUCGCAAGAAUGAAACUCAAAUGAAUUGACGGGG